GAUGAAGAACGUAGCGAAAUGCGAUAAGUAAUGCGAAUUGCAGAUUUCAGUGAGUCAUCGAAUCUUUGAACGCACAUUGCGCCCGCCAGUAUUCUGGCGGGCAUGCCUGUUCGAGCGUCAUUUCAACCAUCAAGCCCCCGGGCUUGCGUUGGGGCCCUGCGGCUGCCGCAGCCUCCCAAAACCAGUGGCGGGCUCGCUAUCACACCGAGUGCAGUAGUUUACUCUUCGCUCAGGGCGUGUGGCGGGUGCUAGCCGUGAAACCCCCAACUUCUCAAGGUUGACCUCGGAUCAGGUAGGAAUACCCGCUGAACUUAAGCAUAUCAAUAAGCGGAGGA
Molecule: unclassified non-coding RNA, 335 nt
Filed under: soil metagenome
Description: partial contains 5.8S ribosomal RNA, internal transcribed spacer 2, and large subunit ribosomal RNA
Rfam family: 5.8S ribosomal RNA (bases 1-120)
Source: RNAcentral